UGGGGAAUUUUUCGCAAUGGGGGAAACCCUGACGAAGCAACGCCGCGUGGAGGAUGAAGGCCUUCGGGUCGUAAACUCCUGUCGACCGGGACGAAAGCAGUCUGACCCAAUACGUCGGGCUGUCGACUGUACCGGUGGAGGAAGCCACGGCUAACUCUGUGCCAGCAGCCGCGGUAAUACAGAGGUGGCAAGCGUUGUUCGGAAUUACUGGGCGUAAAGGGCGCGUAGGCGGUCUUGCAAGUCCUGUGUGAAAUCCCUCGGCUCAACUGAGGAACUGCACAGGAAACUGCUUGGCUUGAGUUCGGGAGAGGGAAGCGGAAUUCCGGGUGUAGCGGUGAAAUGCGUAGAUAUCCGGAGGAACACCGGUGGCGAAGGCGGCUUCCUGGACCGACACUGACGCUGAGGCGCGAAAGCUAGGGGAGCAAACGG
This 429-nucleotide ribosomal RNA is filed under the name uncultured bacterium. RNAcentral describes it as "bacterial SSU rRNA". It matches the Rfam family "Bacterial small subunit ribosomal RNA", at positions 355 to 775 of the family's 1533-position model. The record is from RNAcentral.